UACAGAGGGUGCGAGCGUUAAUCGGAAUUACUGGGCGUAAAGCGCGCGUAGGCGGCUUUGCAAGUCGGGUGUGAAAUCCCCAGGCUUAACCUGGGAACUGCAUUCGAGACUGCAUUGCUAGAGUAUGGGAGAGGGAAGUGGAAUUUCCGGUGUAGCGGUGAAAUGCGUAGAUAUCGGAAGGAACAUCAGUGGCGAAAGCGACUUCCUGGACCAAUACUGACGCUCAUGUGCGAAAGCGUGAGGAGCGAACAGG
Molecule: ribosomal RNA, 253 nt
Filed under: uncultured bacterium
Lineage: Bacteria
Description: partial 16S ribosomal RNA
Rfam family: Bacterial small subunit ribosomal RNA
Source: RNAcentral